RNAcentral lists this long non-coding RNA (1469 nucleotides) under Lupinus angustifolius (narrow-leaved blue lupine). RNAcentral describes it as "long non-coding RNA (LANG_LNC002003)". The record is from RNAcentral. Lineage: Eukaryota; Viridiplantae; Streptophyta; Magnoliopsida; Fabales; Fabaceae.
UUAGAUUCCAAUAACACUGAAAUUGACUCUCACACAAUUGAGUUGAUUUUAUCUAUCAAUUUAAUUGAUGUGCCACGAUAUAUUUUGUUGAGUCAUAUAUUUUUGCACUUGUGGGGUUUCUAAGGCCUUUGGAAACACUGGAGGUGGAGGAGGGCAGGUAAUUGGUGUCAGUUUAGGUUUAAACACAUGACAUAGGAUCUUUUUUUCUCUGUUGGCUCGCUUUACAUGUGUAUAAUUUAGUGAGAAAACACCAAAAUAAGCCAACCUAGCUCUUGAAGGUUGAGCUUUCUGUUUAGGAAUCCGUAGACAAGUCAAACAAAGAAGAAACUGAAGCACUCUUCAUAUUAUAUUAUGCCAACUUCUAGUGGAUGAUGUGGAUUGAAUAGUGAAACCUUAGUUGUAUGUUAUAUAUACAACAAAAAUCAAACCUUAAAUCUCAGUGGGUAUCCAUAUCAUGCAUACAUAUACAUAUAUAUAUAUAUUGUUCACUGGUAUUCUUUACUUUGGUAGUAUAUUACAGGAUCCCACACCCAUCCCCAAAUUCUGUCCUAGUCCAAUCAACUGCGAACAAGUAAUAUAAAAAUGGAACAAGUGAACAACACCAUAUAGACAUAACAAGUUUCAAAUAAGUUAACUAGGUUAAGAAGGUCCAAUACAAUGAGACUCUCUAUACUUGCUUUGUUUCUCUUUCUGCUAUUCACCUUCAAUGUCAUAUAUCUUGUUCAUGGUGGAGUAGUUAUCAACAAAGAAGUUGUGGGUUCUACCACUACUGUGAGUUUCAAUCUCACUCUCUAUUCUACCUCUUUAAAUUUUUGUUUGGUUUUUCAUGAUUUGUUUUAUAUUUACAAACAUCUUAUCAUGAUUGUUGUAUUUGAUUUCUCUAUCAAGCCAUAAAUGUAUAUUUUACUAUAUCCUAUUUAUGUAAACUUGAAUAAUGUCUUCCAAAAGAUUGGAUUAGUUCAAAGUUUUUGGUGUAAAAGGAUUAUUAUUAUUAUUAUGCAGAGAAAAGCUGGCUGUGGAAAUCAAAGGAGUGAUUGCAUUGAAGGAAAUGGUGGCUCUAAAGAAACUGAAUUUGAGAACGAAGACUAUGUUUACACCAACUCUUUACCUUAGAUGACAUGUUUUUAAUUCGUUCAGUCUUGUAAUGUAAAUUCAUUAUGGAUCAUGUGUUGUUUACAAUCAUUCCAGAUUGUCUAAAGUUAACUUGCCAUAUCAGUAAUUGCAAAGGAUCUAUAAGCUUCUUUUUAUCCAUUGUUUUUAUGGGAUCAGUUCUCUGGAGCAGUUUGUUUAUUGUUGUAAAAACUAGAGAAGAAAGCCUUUUCAGAUUAUGUGUAUCAUAGUUCUGUGUAAAUUUUAGAAAGAUUAUUUAUGCGUCUUAGAUUUCACCUUAUGAUGAAAUGGAAAGAGAAGAAAAAAGACGAUCAAUUUCACAAAACAUGACUUCUAUUCAUAGAUCUCAAGGAUUGCAU